CAGUCGCCACGGUAAUACAUAGGGUGCGAGCGUUGUCCGGAAUUAUUGGGCGUAAAGAGCUUGUAGGCGGUCUGUCGCGUCUGCUGUGAAAACCCGAGGCUCAACCUCGGGCCUGCAGUGGGUACGGGCAGACUAGAGUGCGGUAGGGGAGAGCGGAACUCCUGGUGUAGCGGUGGAAUGCGCAGAUAUCAGGAAGAACACCGAUGGCGAAGGCAGUUCUCUGGGCCGUAACUGACGCUGAGAAGCGAAAGCGUGGGGAGCGAACAGGAUUAGAUACCCCUGUAGUCCCUGUCUCUUAUAC
Molecule: ribosomal RNA, 301 nt
Filed under: uncultured bacterium
Lineage: Bacteria
Description: partial 16S ribosomal RNA
Rfam family: Bacterial small subunit ribosomal RNA
Source: RNAcentral